AUGACUCUCGGCAACGGAUAUCUCGGCUCUCGCAUCGAUGAAGAACGUAGCGUAAUGCGAUACUUGGUGUGAAUUGCAGAAUCCCGUGAACCAUCGAGUUUUUGAACGCAAGUUGCGCCCGAAGCCGUUAGGCUGAGGGCACGUUUGCCUGGGCGUCGUA
This 160-nucleotide ribosomal RNA is filed under the name Nymphoides aquatica x Nymphoides cordata. Its description in RNAcentral is "5.8S ribosomal RNA". It matches the Rfam family "5.8S ribosomal RNA". From Rfam's summary of the family: 5.8S ribosomal RNA (5.8S rRNA) is a component of the large subunit of the eukaryotic ribosome. It is transcribed by RNA polymerase I as part of the 45S precursor that also contains 18S and 28S rRNA. Functionally, it is thought that 5.8S rRNA may be involved in ribosome translocation. The record is from RNAcentral. Lineage: Eukaryota; Viridiplantae; Streptophyta; Magnoliopsida; Asterales; Menyanthaceae.